This 327-nucleotide ribosomal RNA is filed under the name Cercomonas sp. RNAcentral describes it as "SSU rRNA". The stretch from base 59 to 327 matches the Rfam family "Eukaryotic small subunit ribosomal RNA", at positions 686 to 955 of the family's 1831-position model. Lineage: Eukaryota; Cercozoa; Cercomonadida; Cercomonadidae. The record is from RNAcentral.
GAUUUCUGGUACGGCGCACUUGGCCCGCCCCGGUUACGGGGUUGUGUGCCGGUGUGCGCCUGCCAUCCUUCUAGUAAUUGCUACUUCUUCCCUUUACUGGGCUUGGAGUAGUGAUCUAGAUCAUUUACUUUGAAAAAAUUAGAGUGUUUAAAGCAGGCUUGUGCUAUGAAUACAUUAGCAUGGAAUAAUAAUUUAGGACUUUAGUCUUAUUUUGUUGGUUUCUAGGACUGAACGUAAUGAUUGAUAGGGACAGUUGGGGGUGCUAGUAUUGGCCGGUCAGAGGUGAAAUUCUUGGAUUCGGUCAAGACUAACUUAUGCGAAAGCAUU